CCUACGGGAGGGCAGCAGUGGGGAAUAUUGGACAAUGGGGGGAACCCUGAUCCAGCCAUGCCGCGUGUGUGAAGAAGGCCCUCGGGUUGUAAAGCACUUUCAGUGAGGAAGAACGCCUGGUGGUUAAUACCCAUCAGGAAAGACAUCACUCACAGAAGAAGCACCGGCUAACUCCGUGCCAGCAGCCGCGGUAAUACGGAGGGUGCGAGCGUUAAUCGGAAUUACUGGGCGUAAAGCGCGCGUAGGUGGCUUGAUAAGCCGGUUGUGAAAGCCCCGGGCUCAACCUGGGAACGGCAUCCGGAACUGUCAAGCUAGAGUGCAGGAGAGGAAGGUAGAAUUCCCGGUGUAGCGGUGAAAUGCGUAGAGAUCGGGAGGAAUACCAGUGGCGAAGGCGGCCUUCUGGACUGACACUGACACUGAGGUGCGAAAGCGUGGGUAGCAAACAGGAUUAGAUACCCGGGUAGUC
RNAcentral lists this ribosomal RNA (466 nucleotides) under Vreelandella stevensii. RNAcentral's name for it is "partial 16S ribosomal RNA". It matches the Rfam family "Bacterial small subunit ribosomal RNA", at positions 338 to 795 of the family's 1533-position model. Lineage: Bacteria; Pseudomonadati; Pseudomonadota; Gammaproteobacteria; Oceanospirillales; Halomonadaceae. The record is from RNAcentral.